RNAcentral lists this ribosomal RNA (484 nucleotides) under uncultured bacterium. RNAcentral's name for it is "partial 16S ribosomal RNA". It matches the Rfam family "Bacterial small subunit ribosomal RNA", at positions 29 to 507 of the family's 1533-position model. The record is from RNAcentral.
AUUGAACGCUGGCGGCAUGCUUUACACAUGCAAGUCGAACGGCAGCGCGGGCUUCGGCCUGGCGGCGAGUGGCGAACGGGUGAGUAAUACAUCGGAACGUGCCCAGUAGUGGGGGAUAGCUCGGCGAAAGCCGGAUUAAUACCGCAUACGACCUGAGGGUGAAAGCGGGGGAUCUUCGGACCUCGCGCUAUUGGAGCGGCCGAUGGCAGAUUAGCUAGUUGGUGGGGUAAAGGCCUACCAAGGCGACGAUCUGUAGCUGGUCUGAGAGGACGACCAGCCACACUGGGACUGAGACACGGCCCAGACUCCUACGGGGGGCAGCAGUGGGGAAUUUUGGACAAUGGGCGAAAGCCUGAUCCAGCAAUGCCGCGUGUGUGAUGAAGGCCUUCGGGUUGUAAAGCACUUUUGGCGGGAACGAAAAGGACUAUGCCAAUACCACGGUUCGAUGACGGUACCCGCAGAAUAAGCACCGGCUAACUACGUG